ACAUGCUGUCUGAAACCCUCCUUCAGAGCUGACACUAAACACCAGCUCCUUCACCUCUGGGAACAGGAAGACAGUAAAAUUUGUUGCAAAAUGCCAGACGGUUCCUCUUUCCUGGGACCCUUUGCCUGAAGCUCCCUCUAAGCUGGAUUUCCCCUGCCAAGAACACAGAAGAUGGAGACACAGAAGAUCCAGGGCUGUCCUGUCUAGCAUCACAACAGGGACCUGGGUGCAGCUGGAUCAGAGGAUGACAGGAACUCAGCGUCACCCUGGGCGACCAGUGUGGGAUCUGUCAUCUGACUGCAAGGGAAGAGAAUUUUGUAAAAACCAGGAUAUCAGAUGUCCGGACCUUGGGUUAAAUACUCUACACUACAGCACACUUUCACAAGAAGUUCAUCAGGUUAAAGGACGGCACGCGGACAUAUCUGGAGGUUUCGUUCUAAUUUUUAACAUUUUGUAAUUUUCCUGAACAGUGGGUAUAACCGGACGCAGGCAUGUUUAUGCCAGG
This is a long non-coding RNA of Paramormyrops kingsleyae, 505 nucleotides long. RefSeq lists it as uncharacterized. Lineage: Eukaryota; Metazoa; Chordata; Actinopteri; Osteoglossiformes; Mormyridae. The record is from RefSeq and is a predicted model, not a curated record.